UAAAGCUCAGGAUUCUCUUGAUACAUAACAUUCCCUUCUUUGGGCUCAGAAGUCUCUUGUUCAUUUAGAGUGUCUACUUUAUCGAACGUUGGAGCUUUAGUGUAGGGAAACCUCUCCCUCUUAGCAAGAGUCGUACCUGUUUAGUACUCUUUUAACCUUGGUUUGGAAAAUAUCUAUCAAGAGUAACCUGUUUCUGUCGAAAGUUUUCUAGGGUUCUUUAUCGAUCUGUUCUUCUGUAAAGGGUUUGGGUAAAAUCCUUCUGUUCUUGAGCUCAGUUCGGUUUACCUUGUUGUUUCCCUUCUGGUUGAUGUCUUCGAGAUUAGAUAAAGCUAUGAAAGGGAUGUCUUUGGAGGAAGAAGAGGAUGUCCCAUUUAACAUGCCAGAUCUACCAGAGUUCUGUUCAAGCGAGAAAAAUGUUCUUAGUCUGAUGGGUAGGGUCCUGAACCCAGCUUGUCAAUCGGUCUCCAACUUGGUCAGAGAUCUCCCAAGAAAAUGGCAGCUUUACCACAGAGUAAGAGGAGUGGCCUUAUCGAAAGAGAGUUUUCAGUUCGUUUUCCAGUAUGAGCAUGAUUUGGAAAGGGUUUUGGAGAAGAGGGUCCAUUCAUUCAACGAAUGGUCGAUUGUGAUUGAUAGAUGGGUGGACACUACAAGAAAUUAGGACAUUGGUAGCAGAUCACAGUAGCACUAAUUCAACAACUGCUACUAAAAGUGUCAAAAUUGAAUGUCCAAUUAUACGAUAGCAUUAAAUUCGUGCUAGGAAAAAAUUUCAUUAUCCCGGGAAAAAAAAUCGCUACUAUAGUUGAAAAUUUGUUUUGGAGGCAAUACACUAACCCAAAUUUUUUGUUUUUCAUGACGAGAGAAAAAAACAAUCCUUUUUCGUCUUAAGUCUUAAAAAGAAAAAAGUUCUUCCUCUCAUCCAUUGUCCCUCUUUCCAUUAACCCUAAAUCUUAAAAUUCCCAAAAAUAAAUGUUCAAGCCGACAAAUUCUUCUCACACAAAUCCUAAGGCUUCUCCUUCUUCCCAAAUUCCUCUAUCUCUCUCUGUUUUUCUCUCUCUAUCUCUUUUGAAGAAUAUGAAUUCGGCAUCUUUAGAUGAAGUUGAGAUCUGCUGGAGCAAGAGAACCCAAACUUCCCGUCGAAGCUCCUUCCUCUUCGGGUAUCACAAUCGACCUUCCAGACAAAACCACCAACGACGCUUCCGCUUCCCUCCGAUUCAAAUUCUGGAUCUGAGAUUGAUUAUGACUCUAAGCGAGCUUGGUGGUGGUGGGUUUGAGACCAAAGAUUUCUCUAAUUAAUGAUAUCUAAAAUCUUCUUUCUCUUUUAGUUUACUUUGGAUUUUUAUCCUGCGAACGCUUAGUAUCAGCGGCUAGAGACGGCGAUUUAUAGGAAGCCAAGUAGUCACCCUCGGUGUAUCAAGAUCUUGGUUUCGGACUAGAUACCAAGUGUUCCCAUCUGUUGGAGCUUGUUGAAGAAUAAUAAAUCCUCAAUUGCUGAUUUUGAUCCAAGUGACUCUUGGUUCCAAAUUCGUUUUGGUGGUCAUAGUCUUCUUUAGUCAUGGUUUGGUUCUUAGCGAGUAAGAAUCUCUUUCCAAUCUUCUCUGUUUUCUCUCUUGUGGUUAUGUGGUUUCUGUUUUUCUCUCUUGAGUUCUUCGCAGAUAAGUGAUAUCUUUUGGUGUGAAGAAACGUUGCAGAUCUUAAGAAAACAAAUACUUUUGGCAGAUACAGAUUUAGCUUACCAAUGUUUGAUACAGAUUUGUGUUCUUUGGAUGUGUUUUGUAGUGUUCUUCACAAAGUGGUCAACAGAGCAGACGAUGGUGGAAUCACACCUCUUCAUAAUGAAUGUAGAGAUUCUCUAAUUGAAAAAAUUAAUUCUGUAGUUUUGUUUUCGCUUUGGCGCUUUGGUUAUACAUUGUAGGUGUUGGGGGUACGCAACUCUCCAUUAUGCUUCAUGUGGUGGAAACACGCAGUGUUUUGUUUCAUUUGGAUCAUAUAUGAAUUCAUUUGGCAUUUGUUUUCACAGCUAUUGAUCGAUAAGGGGGCCUGUUUUAGCUGCCAUGAACUCCAACGAGUUUGUUCUUCUCUCUAUUUCUCCGCCUGUAAGAUGGCUGCAAGAUUGGAAGCCAAAAACACAUUUGCUUUGAAGUCCGAGAUUGAAUAGCUACAACAAGAGAGGGAUCGAUUUCAAAGGAUGGUGAUUGGAAACCAGUUACUAUAAGGUGAUAUGCUGAUGGUAUGAGUGGAGAUCUACUAGGGCUGCUUUGGUCUCUUUAUUACUUGGUUUGGUGAAGAAAUGUACUUGCCUUCUUUUUCUUUAUGACUUUGUUGGUGAUUCAAUCAUUUGUAUCUUUUGGGUAUUUGAUAGAAUGAUUCUAUGUAAAAUGUAUGUUUUAUAAAUUU
Non-coding RNA from Camelina sativa (false flax), 2394 nucleotides. The record is from RefSeq and is a predicted model, not a curated record. NCBI's taxonomy places the organism in Eukaryota, Viridiplantae, Streptophyta, Magnoliopsida, Brassicales, Brassicaceae.